AAUAUUAGAGUACAUACUCCAAUUAUUAUUUCCAAUAAAUUAAAAUCCAAAAGAAUGUCAUCAUAGUUCACUCAAAGUAUUUCCAACAACAUUAAUAGAUUUAUUGAAACUUAGCUCUCUUAAUUAUUACAAAAGAGUACAAUUUAAUUUCUAAACUUUUGAGAUCUAAGAAUUGAUGGAUAUAUUUUGAGUUAUUUAACCCUAUUAGAUAAUCCAUCAAGUCAUUAUACAUAUAAAAUCAUAAUUAAUCCUAUCUAAAUAACAUUAAUUUUUUAAAUACAAUUCCAG
RNAcentral lists this long non-coding RNA (288 nucleotides) under Solanum tuberosum (potato). RNAcentral's name for it is "long non-coding RNA (STUB_LNC008677)". The record is from RNAcentral. Lineage: Eukaryota; Viridiplantae; Streptophyta; Magnoliopsida; Solanales; Solanaceae.